Molecule: ribosomal RNA, 1588 nt
Filed under: Staphylococcus simulans ACS-120-V-Sch1
Lineage: Bacteria; Bacillati; Bacillota; Bacilli; Caryophanales; Staphylococcaceae
Description: bacterial LSU rRNA
Rfam family: Bacterial large subunit ribosomal RNA
Source: RNAcentral
AUUGACUAAGGUUUCCAGAGGAAGGCUCGUCCGCUCUGGGUUAGUCGGGUCCUAAGUCGAGGCCGACAGGCGUAGACGAUGGAUAACAGGUUGAUAUUCCUGUACCACCAUUUAUCGUUUUAAGCGAUGGGGGGACACAGUAGGAUAGGCGAAGCGUGCUGUUGGAGUGCACGUCUAAGCAGUGAGACUGAAUGGUAGGCAAAUCCGCCAUUCUCAAGGUUGAGCUGUGAUGGGGAGAGGAAACAUGUUUUCCUCGAGUCGUUGAUUUCACACUGUCGAGAAAAGCCUCUAGCUAGAUAACUGGUGCCCGUACCGCAAACCGACACAGGUAGUCAAGAUGAGAAUUCUAAGGUGAGCGAGAGAACUCUCGUUAAGGAACUCGGCAAAAUGACCCCGUAACUUCGGGAGAAGGGGUGCUCUUUAGGGUUCACGCUCUGAAGAGCCGCAGUGAAUAGGCCCAAGCGACUGUUUAUCAAAAACACAGGUCUCUGCUAAACCGUAAGGUGAUGUAUAGGGGCUGACGCCUGCCCGGUGCUGGAAGGUUAAGAGGAGUGGUUAGCUUCUGCGAAGCUACGAAUCGAAGCCCCAGUAAACGGCGGCCGUAACUAUAACGGUCCUAAGGUAGCGAAAUUCCUUGUCUGGUAAGUUCCGACCCGCACGAAAGGCGUAACGAUUUGGGCACUGUCUCAACGAGAGACUCGGUGAAAUCAUAGUACCUGUGAAGAUGCAGGUUACCCGCGACAGGACGGAAAGACCCCGUGGAGCUUUACUGUAGCCUGAUAUUGAAAUUCGGCACAGCUUGUACAGGAUAGGUAGGAGCCUUAGAAGCGUGAGCGCCAGCUUACGUGGAGGCGCUGGUGGGAUACUACCCUAGCUGUGUUGGAUUUCUAACCCGCGCCAUUGAUCAUGGCGGGAGACAGUGUCAGGCGGGCAGUUUGACUGGGGCGGUCGCCUCCUAAAGUGUAACGGAGGCGCUCAAAGGUUCCCUCAGAAUGGUUGGAAAUCAUUCAUAGAGUGUAAAGGCAUAAGGGAGCUUGACUGCGAGACCUACAAGUCGAGCAGGGUCGAAAGACGGACUUAGUGAUCCGGUGGUUCCGCAUGGAAGGGCCAUCGCUCAACGGAUAAAAGCUACCCCGGGGAUAACAGGCUUAUCUCCCCCAAGAGUUCACAUCGACGGGGAGGUUUGGCACCUCGAUGUCGGCUCAUCGCAUCCUGGGGCUGUAGUUGGUCCCAAGGGUUGGGCUGUUCGCCCAUUAAAGCGGUACGCGAGCUGGGUUCAGAACGUCGUGAGACAGUUCGGUCCCUAUCCGUCGUGGGCGUAGGAAAUUUGAGAGGAGCUGUCCUUAGUACGAGAGGACCGGGAUGGACAUACCUCUGGUGUACCAGUUGUCGUGCCAACGGCAUAGCUGGGUAGCUAUGUAUGGACGGGAUAAGUGCUGAAAGCAUCUAAGCAUGAAGCCCCCCUCAAGAUGAGAUUUCCCAACUUCGGUUAUAAGAUCCCUCAAAGAUGAUGAGGUUAAUAGGUUCGGGGUGGAAGCAUAGCGAUAUGUGGAGCUGACGAAUACUAAUCGAUCGAAGACUUAAUCAA